This 271-nucleotide ribosomal RNA is filed under the name Gammarus balcanicus. Its description in RNAcentral is "partial 16S ribosomal RNA". The record is from RNAcentral. Lineage: Eukaryota; Metazoa; Arthropoda; Malacostraca; Amphipoda; Gammaridae.
CUAAGGUAGCAUAGUCAUUUGCUAUUUAAUUGGUAGCUGGAAUGAAAGGUUAAACUAACCCACCAGGUUUGUAAGACUUUACAGAAGCUUAAAGUUAAGGUAAGAAUUCUUUAAUUUUCUAGGGGACGAUAAGACCCUAGAAGCUUGACAAAAAGGCGAGUUUGUGUUAAAAGUUUGUUUGUUUUACUGGGGCGGUAAAAAUAAUUAAGCUAUUUAGUGAACAGGAGAUCCCUUAGAUAAAGAGAAAGUAGGAAAGUUACUCUAGGGGUAA